CGUGACUCUCAAGCUCCCGUCUGCGGAGAGGAAAACAUGGCGGAGAUUCCUUGUUUUUUCAGAUAAAAAUAUAAUUUUAUAACUUAGUUUGGGCAUAAAAAUACAUUCUGACACCAUUUCUAGCGAGAAAUGUGCUCUUUGCUUCCACAGUCUUCAGCCAGUUCGUGCUUAUGAUAAAUAUUUUAAUAGUUAUCACGCAUGUUUUUAUCGUUGCUAUGACGGUUGCCAUGCCACCACGGCGCAGCGUGGUGUUUAAAUCACAGUCCCUGCGUGGUGUCCUUCAGUGAUCGUGAAUGUUAUUCAUGUUAUAUAAUAGUAAUAUUUGAGGCUAGAUUACAUCUCUAAUGAGAAGGAACCUGCGAGUCUGUUCAUACCGAGGCCGGCCCGAGUGCGCGACCGGACCGAGUGCGCGAGCGGACAUUACGUGUGGCUGUCGUAAAAACCCUAUUUGUAAACAACCAGUCCUUUAACUCAGCGCUACGUCAUAAACACGGCGCGCUUGGAAGACCACGAUGUCAUCUUCCUUCUGUCAGGAGGAUCAAAGUGAAGCUACAGGAGUUUCAUUAACGUCAAUAACUUGGACCGAACGGUUUGUUUUGCUUGAUGAAGAGCAGGAAGGGCAGCCUGGAGAGAAAGAGAAGCCGGGUUGAGCCCACUACCAUCAUCCACGUACCACGAGGAAGAUGAGGGAGAGAAAUGAUCCUACCAUUAAAGAGACUGUGAAAAGAACGUUGAGAACAUCACCACUCUACAGGAAGACACAGUCCAGUAAUGGGUGUCAGUAGUUCAGUAGUGAACGACAGGCAGUACUGAUGCAUUUACUGAGAGGGGACGUGAGGGCCUACUCUGCGUGCUCAGAGUUCAAACCCAGCAGGCUGCAGCGGGCCUGACAUAUUCUGGAACAGAGCAGCACAGUCUUUGGAUGACUCCUCUGAAGAUGAAAACAUGGCGAGUUCUUCUCAAGAGAAGCAGUACAGGUGUGCCUCAGCUCCACGGUCCCUCCUGCAACCUCCGCUCCUGAUGCUAACCUCAUGUCUCCAUCCCACCAAGCAGCAGACCUGGAUUGACAGACCUUCUCCAGAGCUGCCCCCUCCCUCUGAAACCCCCCUCUCCAAAACACUAUUUGUGUAGUUUUUAAAGUAUUUUUUGCAUGAGAAUUGUUGAUCAUAACAUUUCCAGCAGAUGCCUUAAUGUAAUGUUU
Molecule: long non-coding RNA, 1201 nt
Organism: Pleuronectes platessa (European plaice)
Lineage: Eukaryota; Metazoa; Chordata; Actinopteri; Pleuronectiformes; Pleuronectidae
Exons: 5
Source: RefSeq, a predicted model, not a curated record